GCGCCCGCUAAUCACCACCCAUAUGCCGAGCCCUGCUCCCGAUUCAUUCCUGCCUGUGCGGGAUUACCAGGUUUGGCAAACAUCCCACCGGCAGGGCCGGGAGCGGGCCAGCUGGAUCCUGCCCCCAGCUGACCCCUGCCUGUGGCCCCUGCGGGGAGCGGGGUGGGACUGCCAGGGUGGAAUUGCCAGGGCAGGAUUGCUGGAGUGGGAUUGCUGGAGCAGGAUUGCUGGGGUGGGAAUGGGGCUCCAAGCCCUGCAGGGCAGCAGUGCCUGGGGUGAGCCCUGACCCCAGCCCCGGGGGCUGCUUCACAGCACCACCCCAGCCAGCACUGACAGGGCUUGGGCCCUUAAUCUGUGGAGUCAGAGGGCAGAGAAGGAGGUUAAUGCGCUUGUGCUAAUCGCAGGAGUGCUGGGCUGCAGCUGCUGAGUGUUCUCCACGGCCACCUGACAGGGGCUGCCAUGUCCUGGGUGCCCUGUGCCCCAGCCCUGCUGCCUUGCACUGGGGGACGGCCUCCCCUGGCCAGCUUCCUGCCAUGGGGAACGUUUCAGGCCAUGGGUAAAGAUCAGAGCAGCACAUUUGCCCCUCCAAUAUCCACCCUGGGCACCCAGAGGAGACAGGUUUCCCUGGAGAAAGACCUGCUGAGCUGAUGCUACAGGGAGAGAAGGAAGCGAGGAAGGGGUUUUGCUCUCGCAGGCUCCAUCCUGCUGACAGGGUCACGCACAGGACCCACGUGGAGAGGACCCGGAUCCUUGAGACUCAGCCCAGCCAUCCAUUCAGGCCAGGACACAACACGUGAACUGCCCGUCCUGGGGAGCCAGGGAAACCAACAUGCUUGGGCACAUGGAGUGUGUGAGCAAUCGGCUGCUGACGGUGACUUGGCAGCGCAGCACAGCUCAGAACCAAAAUUAAAGCACAAGAGGAUACAGAAACUCCCUUGUCAGCACCAGGAAGGUGAAAGGAAAGCUGAGGAGAUGGAUCACCAUCUCCCUGCUGUAUGUGACCCUUUGGGAAGGAUGCACGCACCCCUCGGGACAAAUAUGCCCCUGAUUUCCUGCGAAGGCACAGCCAAACUCUUUCAUAUGAAUCUUUUAAUUCUGUUGCAGCGCCUGGAGGGAUUUUGCUCCAGCACACACACACACACACACACAUUUGGAAGCAAUCCAAGGCUGGAAGAUGCUGCCCAAAAGGGCGACUGGCUCCGGAAUGCACGAGUGCCUGGGAACAGGUGGUUAGCACGGAAAUUAUCUGGCAGCUGCGACACGUGGCAGGCAGGAGAUGAUGAAAUCACAUUUAAAACUAGAUUUCAGAAAUAAUCUCCUCCCUUUUUUUCCCCCUAAAUGCACCCUGCCAGAGCAGAGAAUAAAUCCCAGGCACACAGGGACAACACGACACCGCUCCCAGAGAUCCGAUUUUUGUGGUGGUGACAUUAUUCUCCUGUCCACGGCUCACGUCUCGCUCACAUGGCUCUCCCCCACCACACACACAGGGCACAGCC
Long non-coding RNA from Lepidothrix coronata (blue-crowned manakin), 1496 nucleotides. RefSeq lists it as uncharacterized. NCBI's taxonomy places the organism in Eukaryota, Metazoa, Chordata, Aves, Passeriformes, Pipridae. The transcript has 3 exons. The record is from RefSeq and is a predicted model, not a curated record.